Molecule: ribosomal RNA, 241 nt
Filed under: uncultured bacterium
Lineage: Bacteria
Description: partial 16S ribosomal RNA
Rfam family: Bacterial small subunit ribosomal RNA
Source: RNAcentral
CCGGCGCACGGGUGAGUAACACGUAUCCAACCUGCCGUCUACUCUUGGCCAGCCUUCUGAAAGGAAGAUUAAUCCAGGAUGGCAUCAUGAGUUCACAUGUCCGCAUGAUUAAAGGUAUUUUCCGGUAGACGAUGGGGAUGCGUUCCAUUAGAUAGUAGGCGGGGUAACGGCCCACCCAGUCAACGAUGGAUAGGGGUUCUGGGAGGAAGGUCCCCCACAUUGGAACUGAGACACGGUCCAA